This 21-nucleotide non-coding RNA is filed under the name Caenorhabditis elegans. Lineage: Eukaryota; Metazoa; Nematoda; Chromadorea; Rhabditida; Rhabditidae. The record is from RNAcentral.
UAAUAUACUUGGGUUCGGAAA